This 470-nucleotide ribosomal RNA is filed under the name uncultured bacterium. RNAcentral's name for it is "bacterial SSU rRNA". It matches the Rfam family "Bacterial small subunit ribosomal RNA", at positions 28 to 491 of the family's 1533-position model. The record is from RNAcentral.
GAUGAACGCUAGCGGCAGGCUUAACACAUGCAAGUCGAGGGGCAGCACGGGUAGCAAUACCUGGUGGCGACCGGCGCAAGGGUGCGUAACGCGUGAGCAACAUGCCCUAUACAGGGGGAUAAUCCAGGGAAACUUGGUCUAAUAUCCCAUAGUAUUUAGAGGAGGCAUCUUCUAUAAAUUAAAGCUUCGGUGGUAUAGGAUUGGCUCGCGUGACAUUAGCUAGAUGGUGAGGUAACGGCUCACCAUGGCAAUGAUGUCUAGGGGUUCUGAGAGGAAGGCCCCCCACACUGGGACUGGAGACACGGCCCAGGACUCCUACGGGAGGCAGCAGUGAGGAAUAUUGGACAAUGGAUGGAAAUCUGAUCCAGCCAUGCCGCGUGCAGGAAGACAGCCCUAUGGGUUGUAAACUGCUUUUAUAUGGGAGCAAUAAGGUCUACGUGUAGACUGAUGAGAGUACCAUAUGAAUAAGC